GCCCUGCUAGCGUAAUGGUUAACGCGUCUCCCUCCUACUGUCAUUAAAAAUUUUAUUUGUCACAGGAGAAAAGGAGAAGACUUCGGGUUCGAGUCCCGAGUAGGGUU
Candida tropicalis MYA-3404 is the source of this 107-nucleotide transfer RNA. It matches the Rfam family "tRNA". From Rfam's summary of the family: Transfer RNA (tRNA) molecules are approximately 80 nucleotides in length. Their secondary structure includes four short double-helical elements and three loops (D, anti-codon, and T loops). Further hydrogen bonds mediate the characteristic L-shaped molecular structure. tRNAs have two regions of fundamental functional importance: the anti-codon, which is responsible for specific mRNA codon recognition, and the 3' end, to which the tRNAs corresponding amino acid is attached (by aminoacyl-tRNA synthetases). tRNAs cope with the degeneracy of the genetic code in two manners: having more than one tRNA (with a specific anti-codon) for a particular amino acid; and 'wobble' base-pairing, i.e. permitting non-standard base-pairing at the 3rd anti-codon position. The record is from Rfam. NCBI's taxonomy places the organism in Eukaryota, Fungi, Ascomycota, Pichiomycetes, Serinales, Debaryomycetaceae.